Molecule: ribosomal RNA, 227 nt
Filed under: uncultured bacterium
Lineage: Bacteria
Description: partial 16S ribosomal RNA
Rfam family: Bacterial small subunit ribosomal RNA
Source: RNAcentral
UGAGUAACACGUAUCCAACCUGCCGUCUACUCUUGGACAGCCUUCUGAAAGGAAGAUUAAUACAAGAUGGCAUCAUGAGUUCACAUGUUCACAUGAUUAAAGGUAUUCCGGUAGACGAUGGGGAUGCGUUCCAUUAGAUAGUAGGCGGGGUAACGGCCCACCUAGUCUUCGAUGGAUAGGGGUUCUGAGAGGAAGGUCCCCCACAUUGGAACUGAGACACGAUCCAA